AAAAAUAAAAUUUAAAUAAAAUUUUUAAUAUUAUAAAUUAUUUAAUUAAUUAAAAUAAUAAUAAUUAAUAAAAUUUUUAGUAAUAUAAAUAAAAUAAUUAAUAAAAAAUAAAUUGUAUUGUAAAAGAAAAUUUUAAAUAUUUAAAAAGAUAAAUUAAUUUUUUUUACCUUUUGUAUCAGGGUUAGUUAAAAAUUUUUAUUUAAGUAUAAAUAUUUCGAAAUUAAUUGAGCUAAAAUUUAAUAUUAGUUAAUGUAAUAAAAUUAUUAAUAAUUAAAUUUUAGAAAUUAUAUAUUAUUCAUAAUUAAUAAUAUCUAAUUUUUUAAUAAAUGAAUUUAAUUCAUUAAUUUAUUUAUUAUUUAAUAAUAAAUUUUUAUUAUAAAUAAUUUAAUAAAUUAAAAAAUUUUAUGGGAUAAACUUUAAAAUUAAUAUUAUAAAAUUUAAUAAAAAUAAUUAUUUUUAAAUAUAAUUUAAAAUUUUAAUUUUUAAAAAAUAUAUAAUAAUUUAUAAUUAAAUAAAAAUUAAUUUUAUAAAAAUUUUUAAUAUUUAUAUUAAAAUUUAAAUUUUAACUAAUAAAAUUUAAUAAUAAUGAUUAAAUUAGUAAAUUUUUAUAAAUAAAUUGUAAAAUAAAUUGAAAAUUUAAGUUAAUAAAUUAAGCAAAUUAUAAUAUUUACCUGUUUAUUAAAAACAUGUCUUUAAGAAUGUAUAUAUAUUUAAAGUCUAAUCUGCUCAAUGAAAAAUAAUUUUAAAUAGCUGCAAUAUUUUAAUUGUACAAAGGUAGCAUAAUAAUUUAUCUUUUAAUUAAAGAUGGGAAUGAAAGAUUUAAUAAAAUAUUAACUGUGUCAAUUUAAAUAAAAUUUAAAUUUUAUUUUUAAGUAAAAAAUCUUAAAUAUAAUUAUUAGACGAUAAGACCCUAUAGAACUUUAUAUUAAAUUAUUUUAUAUUAUAAAAUUUAUAAAAUUAUAUUUUAAUUUAAUAUUAUAUUGGGGGCAUAAAAAAAUUAAAAUAAUUUUUUUAUUAAUUUUUACAUUAAUAAAUGAAUUAAAUUUAAAAGAGUGUUUAAUAUAAAUUAAUAGAAUAAGUUACCUUAGGGAUAACAGCGUAAUUUUUUUAAAUAGUUCUUAUUGAUAAAAAAGAUUGCGACCUCGAUGUUGAAUUAAGAUAAAUAUUAAAAGAAGAAUUUUAUUUAUUAAGUCUGUUCGACUUUUAAAAUCUUACAUGAUUUGAGUUAAAAUCGGCGUAAGCCAGAUUGGUUUCUAUCUAUAAUAAAAUUUUAAAUAUUUGUACGAAAGGACUUUAUUUAAUAAAUAAAAAUAUUAAUAAUAAAUGAAUUACAUUAAUUUUUAAUUUUAAUUUUUAUAAUAUUAAUAUAAAUAAUUA
Molecule: ribosomal RNA, 1377 nt
Filed under: Parnips nigripes
Lineage: Eukaryota; Metazoa; Arthropoda; Insecta; Hymenoptera; Figitidae
Description: 16S ribosomal RNA
Source: RNAcentral